UAACACUUAACAAGACAACAUUCAUCAACAGGCACAAAACUCAGGAACUCAGGCGCAGAAAAAUGAGGCUGCAAAACAAGAAUAUAAGGCUAAUUGUAUUGGCAAUAAUUAUAAUUUUGAUAGUCUUGAUCCUUAUUAUUGUUCUUUCUGUCUGCCAUGGAUUCAAAUGCGGAAAAUAAGCACUCCAUUCUUCGGACGUUCUAUCUUUGUCAUUUAAAAAAUGUUACAAAUCUCUCUUACUUUUAAUAAUUUUUCGUUUAAUUGUCAGCAUUAAUUAUAUAACUAACGUUUUUCUUUGUUAUUUUGA
Molecule: non-coding RNA, 307 nt
Organism: Arachis ipaensis
Lineage: Eukaryota; Viridiplantae; Streptophyta; Magnoliopsida; Fabales; Fabaceae
Source: RefSeq, a predicted model, not a curated record